This 601-nucleotide long non-coding RNA is filed under the name Homo sapiens (human). RNAcentral describes it as "HSALNT0227520". Lineage: Eukaryota; Metazoa; Chordata; Mammalia; Primates; Hominidae. The record is from RNAcentral.
UGAAGAAGGAGGAAAAGGAUGCAGGAAAGAAUUUAAGAGGCAAAGUGGAUGUGAUAAAGGAACGAGAAGAUCAUGAGAAAAGAUGAAAAAGAGAACAGUGACUGACCCAUGUCAUGAAGCAUCAGUUUCUAAACUUUGCUGUAUGCAGGCUCAAUGAUGAGCAUCUCAGCAUCUCAGAGGUGAAGAAACUGGCCUAGCCACCACGUGGUGGCACUUGCAGCCUGAGUCAGCAGAUCCCCAGGCAAAUGAAGACUCUGAGAUGAAGACAGCUGAGCGCAUGAUGGGGUAGGUCAGCCUCCCUCAUGGAAAUUCUGUGUGCCUGAGGCCCACCCUUCCAGUGCAGAUGGAGGGAUGGGAUGGAAAUGAAUCUAGGGGAACGCAUCCCAGCUGUGAUCCAGCCACCUCUGCGUUUGAAGGCUGGGGGUUAUUCCCUCCUCAUGGUUGCCACGCAUUCUUAUGUUUGCAUGUCAUGCUUGGAACUGCCGCAGCCACUUUGUGACAGCCUGAGAAUGAAUCCAGCGCUAAAAUCAGUCUAGCAAAAGGAGGAGAAACACCUGGGUCUCCAUGAUGUCACUGAGCAAGUGAAUUGACCAGCUGUGAG